halophilic archaeon J07HX5 is the source of this 314-nucleotide non-coding RNA. The record is from Rfam. Lineage: Archaea; Methanobacteriati; Methanobacteriota; Halobacteria; Halobacteriales.
GAACGGACUAGGUCGGGCGGUUAGGCCCCGCUUGUGACCCACGUGUGGCCUCAAAGUGGGGACCGAACGCCGGAUGCGUCCGGUCAGACGGGCGCGGACCCCGUGAGCCAACGGCGAAGCCUCGUCCUGCGGGGACGGAGGUCCAGACGGGCGCGCCUGCAGGGGCGUGGCGGUCUGGUUAGCUGGAGCCACUCCGCCAGGCGCGGAAGCGAGCAGCGGAGCUCCGGACAUCUGUCGCUCGAAGGGCCGCGGGGUGGAGGAGGCAAGCGGGACUACCCGCGUUCGAACGCCGGGCAAUUUCGGUCUGUCCGUUU